ACUGUUGCAGAAACGGUUGGGUCACUUCCACCACCAGGAUCUUUUGUAUAUUCAGAAAAAUGAGCUACCGUAAAGGUUUACCUCCACUUGAAGAGGAACUCCGAAGUUGUGAGGCAUAUCAAUUUGGUAUGCAAACAAGAUUAUGAUUCACAAAAUCAACUUGGUGAGCAACUUAACAAUUGCAGCUGGUUCUUUUUGAAAUUUAACAGAAGUCCUUAUUUCACUAUAUCAGAAUUACAUGUAUAUAUAGACGAGAAAGAAUCUGCAGAAUCUUCUUCUUUAUAGGAUUUUAGUUUAAAUUAUUUGCUUUCUGUGAAUAAGAUGUGGUGUUAAAACCUAUCUCUACCUAUCUUCCUAUUUCAAUCAUGUUAAAUUUAUAUUUCUACCACAUUUGUGUAAGGAUUUUUGUUUGUUACCACUCGGUGUCGGAUAAGUCCCGAUUAUUUUGGAAUUUGAAAAGUUUCAUCUGCC
RNAcentral lists this long non-coding RNA (471 nucleotides) under Solanum tuberosum (potato). RNAcentral describes it as "long non-coding RNA (STUB_LNC006105)". Lineage: Eukaryota; Viridiplantae; Streptophyta; Magnoliopsida; Solanales; Solanaceae. The record is from RNAcentral.